ACUAUGUAGAUGCUUAUUAUUCGAAGGCAUGAUACUUGGAGGUGUAUUCUCAUUUAGUAAUGCCGAUGAAUGGGAUGUCUUUGUGGGAGGAAACUGAUAACCAACCAAUAUUGCCUCCUACAUAUACAAGGCAACCUGGAAAGCCGAAGAGGAGGAGAAACAAAGAAGCUGCUGAGAGGGACAAUGAGGGUGAACAAACUCCCACAAACCCAACCAAUAAUCUUCAAGGUCAUCCUCAACCACUUAAGCUAGGAAGGAAAGGGCAAGGCACUUUGAAAUGUACUAUAUGUAAAAAGGAAGGUCAUAAUGCAAGAACCCAUCAUGGACAUCUUCCUCCAAGGGACAAACAAGUAACAUUUUCUACUUUAUGUGGUUUUUUAAAUCCUUUAACAUCAUAUCAGACUCUUAAUUCUUUAAAUUGCUUUGUAGGCAUCCACAUUUGCUCAAGGACAAUCACCAUCAACAUAUUCAGCUCAAACUGCACCUAAAAAUAGGACAAGGAAAACAAAGUGAUAUGAGCAUAUUUAUGCGACUUUGUUAUCUUAUUUCUUUGCAUUUGCUUAGUUAAUUUCCAUUUAUUAUCGUAAUUUAAGUUAUUUUUGUAUUAUUGCAGGUCCAAUUGGUAAAGAUGACGAUAAAUGGCUAAUGGAGCAAUUUAGAGCAGUUUUGGACUUGGAUUGGAUGGCAUGCGUGUGGAGCAGUGGGGCUAGACGUUUUUGGUGUUUAACAUGUGCUAAAUAUGUGCUAAAAUCUGGAGGAAUUAAAUUUGGAAGCUUGGAAGACAAGGAAAGAUAUAAUCUUAUCUAACCUUAUCCAAUCUUAUCUUAUCUUAUCCAGACUUAUCUUAUCUUAUCCAGUUUACCUUAUCUUAUCUUAUCCAAUUUACCUUAUCUUAUCUUACCUUAUCCAAACAUUAUCCCAUUUUAUACAACAUUAUCUCAUAUUAUCUCCAGCUACAAAAGGAGUCAUUAUUCUAUUCUAAAUACUUCCCAUUUGAUUCUAGGAGU
Molecule: long non-coding RNA, 1007 nt
Filed under: Malus domestica (apple)
Lineage: Eukaryota; Viridiplantae; Streptophyta; Magnoliopsida; Rosales; Rosaceae
Description: long non-coding RNA (MDOM_LNC020369)
Source: RNAcentral